CCCUUUGGCCUGGAAUAACACGAGGAAACUUGUGCUAAUACUGGAUAAGUCUUUACGGAGAAAGCUUUAUGCACCAUUGGAUGAGCCUGCACUUGAUUAGUUUGUUGGUGGGGUAAUGGCCUACCAAGACUGUGAUCAAUAGCUGAUUUGAGAGGAUGAUCAGCCACAUUGGGACUGAGACACGGCCCAAACUCCUACGGGAGGCAGCAGUGGGGAAUCUUGCACAAUGGAGGAAACUCUGAUGCAGCGAUGCCGCGUGAGUGAAGAAGGCCUUUGGGUUGUAAAGCUCUUUCGUCGGGGAAGAAAAUGACUGUACCCGAAUAAGAAGGUCCGGCUAACUUCGUGCCAGCAGCCGCGGUAAUACGAAGGGACCUAGCGUAGUUCGGAAUUACUGGGCUUAAAGAGUUCGUAGGUGGUUGAAAAAGUUGGUGGUGAAAUCCCAGAGCUUAACUCUGGAACUGCCAUCAAAACUUUUCAGCUAGAGUAUGAUAGAGGAAAGCAGAAUUUCUAGUGUAGAGGUGAAAUUCGUAGAUAUUAGAAAGAAUACCAAUUGCGAAGGCAGCUUUCUGGAUCAUUACUGACGCUGAGGAACGAAAGCAUGGGUAGCGAAGAGGAUUAGAUACCCUCGUAGUCCAUGCCGUAAACGAUGUGUGUUAGACGUUGGAAAUUUAUUUUCAGUGUCGCAGCGAAAGCGAUAAACACACCGCCUGGGGAGUACGACCGCAAGGUUAAAACUCAAAUGAAUUGACGGGGACCCGCACAAGUAGUGGAGCAUGUGGUUUAAUUCGAAGAUACGCGCAGAACCUUACCAACACUUGACAUGUUCGUCGCGACUUUAAGAGAUUAAAGUUUUCGGUUCGGCCGGACGAAACACAGGUGCUGCAUGGCUGUCGUCAGCUCGUGUCGUGAGAUGUUGGGUUAAGUCCCGCAACGAGCGCAACCCUCACUUUUAGUUGCCAUCAUUUAGUUGGGCACUCUGAA
RNAcentral lists this ribosomal RNA (981 nucleotides) under marine metagenome. RNAcentral describes it as "bacterial SSU rRNA". It matches the Rfam family "Bacterial small subunit ribosomal RNA", at positions 129 to 1144 of the family's 1533-position model. The record is from RNAcentral.